RNAcentral lists this microRNA precursor (152 nucleotides) under Pelobates cultripes (western spadefoot toad). The record is from RNAcentral. Lineage: Eukaryota; Metazoa; Chordata; Amphibia; Anura; Pelobatidae.
CAGCAGACACAUUCCAGCCAAUCAGCAGCAGACCCUCCCUCCCACCUCCUGGACAGCAUUCAUUGUGAAGCUGCAUUCUUAGUGAGCUGUCCAGGAGGUGGGAGGGUCUGGGAGGGAGGGUCUGCUGCUGAUUGGCUGGAAUGUGUCUGCUG